RNAcentral lists this long non-coding RNA (246 nucleotides) under Danio rerio (zebrafish). RNAcentral's name for it is "si:ch1073-291l11.2 (ENSDARG00000095477.4)". Lineage: Eukaryota; Metazoa; Chordata; Actinopteri; Cypriniformes; Danionidae. The record is from RNAcentral.
GAUGUGCUAAUGGAUGACACGGAUGACAAGGAAAGUGCCAUCGUACAUGCUCUGGGUGUCUUGAGGAGCUUGUCUUUGGAUGAUGCUGAGCAGGUCUUUCUUUCUGGUAAAGAUUAUCAUUACAGUGAAGUAAAAGAAUUUAACAGACAAACAACUGACGAAAGAAGAGAGACCAUUCAAUAGAGGACUUCUAAAUGUAUCCAUAAUCCUGAAACAGACCGUAUCAUGAGCAGAUGCUGUGGUGGU